RNAcentral lists this long non-coding RNA (2018 nucleotides) under Macaca fascicularis (crab-eating macaque). Its description in RNAcentral is "lncRNA (ENSMFAG00000050295.1)". The record is from RNAcentral. Lineage: Eukaryota; Metazoa; Chordata; Mammalia; Primates; Cercopithecidae.
UCCUGAGGAUGUUCAGCUGGUUUUACAGCCACGUGGAAUCCUACACAGAACCCAGCACAUUCUUCUCCAAUUUAAACCACUUUCACCAGGAAUUCUGUUUCUGCUUUCAAAUGGGGCCCUGUCCCGCCCCAAGGGCUGGCACUGACGUGUUUUGUUUGCAGGCUCAGCAUCUCCUCCAGACUGUGGAGUGGAAUGGAUCGCCUCCAGCAGGGCCCUGAGCCACUGUGUGAGUUGACCAGUCACAAAAAUACAGCUCCCUGUGCUCCCCCACCAGCCCACUCCCCCACCUCCCCCACACACAGGCAGGAAAGGCGAACACUGACUCAGGGCCCACUGAGUGCCAGGCACUGGGCACCAAAAUGAAGCUGCUGUCAAGGACUUCCAGCCACAGAGCGACAGCAAGAAAUUCGGUAGGCGAGGCUCCAGGACAGGUGGCGGGUGGGAACAGCCAGGGCGGGCAGAGCUUGGCAAACACCGGCAGCAGGCGGCACUCAAGCCUGGUCUUCACACUGAGGGCACAUCCAUAUCACGUGAGAUCUUGUCAUAAACACGGAUCCUGGCUGCACCCCAGAUGCUUAUUUAGGCGGUCUGGGGUGGAGUCCUGGAACCCGCAGGUGUAACAGGGUCUGGGCGUGUCUGACUCAGGUGGACUCUGUUAGAAGCUGCAGGGAGAAGAGUGAGGGGCUGAGAGUCAUCACCACUGCACAUUUCCUCACAGUUCUGGGGAGCUGGGGGCAGUGGGGGGACAUGCGGGAGUGUAGAUAGGGAAGAAAGAGCAAGGCCAAAGGGCAGCCCUGCUAGACAGAGGUCUGGAUGUGGCACCACAGUCUCUGGCACUAUGUGCGAGUGAGGAUAUUGCGUGCCUCCCAGUGAAGACUCAGUGAGUGGCACCUGAUCCUCCCAUCACUUUUCUGGAGCAGAUUAUUGCUUCUUUCAGCCCGCUCAGUUCUCCAUUUGCACCUGUUUUCCAACUGCAAUGCAACGCGAGGCUCCCUGACUUCCCAAUCCAGUCUUCCCCUCCAAAAUGGCCUUACUCAGCCCUGCCAGCUGCUGCUCUUUGAGCUACAAGGACUCCUGCCCGUGUCGGUCCUGGGGGAUAAGUGCUAAGGGCUAGUAUUUACUUAUCUAUUGUUAAACCUGCUGUAUGGAGUUGCAGAACAAGAAUCAGAAAAUCUCGGGAGCUGCCAGGGCCAGACGAUGGGCUUGAGGUCAGAGAAUUGUUGGGUGUCAACUCCACGGAAAGGGCUCUCCCUUCCCCUUUUCUUCCGUCCCCUCCAUUGGAGAUUUUUCUGCCCCAAGAAAAAGAGCUGAGGAAGAUGCCCACUGCCCCUCCUAGUCAGCAGUGGUAAUAGGGCUCUGCAUCCAGUAAGUGGAAGGUGAGAUACAGGCAAGGGAAACUAGGUCCCUGCAGCAUGUGCCCAGAAUGCAGGAUGAGGUCUGUGCUGUUGGAGAAAGGUGGACCGAUUACAAGGAGAGCAGGAGCAGAGAAAGGAGGAGGGUGGGAUGGAUAUCACCAAGUAGAAGCCUUGGGGAGAUGUGAGGGCUGAAGGCCAAAGACAAGAAACCGGCCACGGGUCCUGGGAAGAGGUCACAAGACAGAAGAACUUGGUUUUGUACUUUCCUUAGCUCUUACUUGACAUAAUGUGUGAUGAUUGGGCUUCUCUCUCCGUUUGUUUUAUGCCUGGAUAUUUUGAUAAACAGAUAUGAUAUUCAAGUACCAAUCUUUGUGAUUUAUUUGUUAAUUUAGAAAUGACCUUUUAGAUCAUUCAUUUAGAAUGAUCUUUACCUAUCAACUGAAGUUGAACAUAUGCCUCAGCUUACUUGCUUACUAUAAAUUCUUUAUUCUUUAUAAGAGGUCUGUUUCUGGCUGGGUGCAUUGGCUCACAUUUGAAAUCUCAGCACUUUGGGAGGCCAAGACAGAAGGAUUGCUGGAGGCAGGGUUCAAGACUAGCCUGGGCAACAUAGGGAGACAGCCCCCACCCCAUCCCUGUGUCUACAAAACAUAAAAAAAAAAAAAA